UACGAAGGGGGCUAGCGUUGUUCGGAUUUACUGGGCGUAAAGCGCACGUAGGCGGCUUGUUAAGUCAGGGGUGAAAUCCCACAGCUCAACUGUGGAACUGCCUUUGAUACUGGCAAGCUAGAGUCCGGAAGAGGUAAGUGGAACUCCUAGUGUAGAGGUGGAAUUCGUAGAUAUUAGGAAGAACACCAGUGGCGAAGGCGGCUUACUGGUCCGGAACUGACGCUGAGGUGCGAAAGCGUGGGGAGCAAACAGG
Molecule: ribosomal RNA, 253 nt
Filed under: uncultured bacterium
Lineage: Bacteria
Description: partial 16S ribosomal RNA
Rfam family: Bacterial small subunit ribosomal RNA
Source: RNAcentral